RNAcentral lists this ribosomal RNA (301 nucleotides) under uncultured bacterium. RNAcentral's name for it is "partial 16S ribosomal RNA". It matches the Rfam family "Bacterial small subunit ribosomal RNA", at positions 509 to 807 of the family's 1533-position model. The record is from RNAcentral.
CAGUCGCCGCGGUAAUACAGAGGGUGCAAGCGUUAAUCGGAAUUACUGGGCGUAAAGCGCGCGUAGGUGGUUUGUUAAGUUGGAUGUGAAAUCCCCGGGCUCAACCUGGGAACUGCAUUCAAAACUGACUGACUAGAGUAUGGUAGAGGGUGGUGGAAUUUCCUGUGUAGCGGUGAAAUGCGUAGAUAUAGGAAGGAACACCAGUGGCGAAGGCGACCACCUGGACUAAUACUGACACUGAGGUGCGAAAGCGUGGGGAGCAAACAGGAUUAGAUACCCCCGUAGUCCCUGUCUCUUAUAC